GCGCCUUUAGCUCAGUUGGUAGAGCAAGGGACUUUUAAUCCCUGGGUCGUGGGUUCGAGCCCCACAGGGCGCACCG
Molecule: transfer RNA, 76 nt
Filed under: Rothia kristinae
Lineage: Bacteria; Bacillati; Actinomycetota; Actinomycetes; Micrococcales; Micrococcaceae
Description: Kocuria kristinae tRNA-Lys
Rfam family: tRNA
About the family: Transfer RNA (tRNA) molecules are approximately 80 nucleotides in length.
Source: RNAcentral